This is a long non-coding RNA of Eriocheir sinensis (Chinese mitten crab), 370 nucleotides long. RefSeq lists it as uncharacterized. NCBI's taxonomy places the organism in Eukaryota, Metazoa, Arthropoda, Malacostraca, Decapoda, Varunidae. The record is from RefSeq and is a predicted model, not a curated record. The transcript has 3 exons.
ACCAGUGAGUGCCACAAGGAGUUAGAAAGGUCCACUGCUGUUUCUAGUGUUAUCUGUCACGUCGUUCGAUGCGAGCACAAUCCGAGGCAUGAAAACACAAAAUAAGGCGUCAAACACUCAUUUUCGGGCAACCAGGGAGUGCCACAAGGUAGGGUCCGCUGCUGCUUCUGGUGUUAUCUAUAAGGCACGUCCUCCGAUAAAAACACAAUAUAAGCACUUCCUACGAUGAGAGCACAAUCUAUCGUCUGUUUUUAUCUCCUGCGACGUCCAACACUCCUCUUCGACUAACCGAUAAAAGCACAAUCUGAGCACUUCCUACGAUGGGAGCACAAUCUAUCGUCUUUAAUCUCCUGCGACGUCCAACACUCCG